RNAcentral lists this ribosomal RNA (492 nucleotides) under uncultured bacterium. RNAcentral describes it as "partial 16S ribosomal RNA". It matches the Rfam family "Bacterial small subunit ribosomal RNA", at positions 29 to 507 of the family's 1533-position model. The record is from RNAcentral.
AGUGAACGCUGGCGGUAGGCCUAACACAUGCAAGUCGAACGGCAGCACAGUAAGAGCUUGCUCUUACGGGUGGCGAGUGGCGGACGGGUGAGGAAUACAUCGGAAUCUACUUUUUCGUGGGGGAUAACGUAGGGAAACUUACGCUAAUACCGCAUACGACCUACGGGUGAAAGCAGGGGAUCUUCGGACCUUGCGCGAUUGAAUGAGCCGAUGUCGGAUUAGCUAGUUGGCGGGGUAAAGGCCCACCAAGGCGACGAUCCGUAGCUGGUCUGAGAGGAUGACCAGCAACAAUGGAACUGUGACACGGUCCAGACUCCUACGGGAGGAAGCAGUGGGGAAUAUUGGACAAAGGGAGCAAGCCUGAUCAAGCCAUACCGCGUAGGUGAAGAAGGCCUUCGGGUUGUAAAGCCCUUUUGUUGGGAAAGAAAAGCAGCAGGUUAAUACCCAGCUGUCCUGACGGUACCCAAAGAAUAAGCACCGGCUAACUUCGUG